RNAcentral lists this long non-coding RNA (791 nucleotides) under Ictidomys tridecemlineatus (thirteen-lined ground squirrel). RNAcentral describes it as "lncRNA (ENSSTOG00000034387.1)". Lineage: Eukaryota; Metazoa; Chordata; Mammalia; Rodentia; Sciuridae. The record is from RNAcentral.
GUUAGAGUCCACACGCCCAGGCGCUUAGUGAUGAUGUCAGCUCCGGUUGCCAUGCUGAGUCGGAAGUGGGAACCCUUUGGCCCCUGAGACUGUCGUGUCGUCGCUGCUGGCCCUUCAGGCUCUGUGUUGUAUUUUUAUGGGGAAAAGCCUUUCAGAGAGCUCUGUACAUCCCAUUGAACCACUGAGUCCACUUGAUCUUGAAUGAGGAUAUGUAACCAGAAGAGUACAAAUGCAGGCUAAGUCAGCCCUUCUAAACACCUUUGAGCCCCUCCCCCUAGGUCUGGAUGGAGGAUACCUUAAAGUGAAAUGACAGACCAGGAGAAUAACAACAACAUCUCAAGUAAUCCCUUUGCUGCUCUUUUUGGCUCCCUGGCUGAUGCCAAGCAGUUUGCAGCAAUCCAAAAAGAGCAGCUGAAGCAGCAAUCUGAUGAACUCCCAGCUAGCCCAGAUGAUUCGGAUAAUAGUGUGUCAGAGAGCCUGGAUGAAUUUGAUUACUCUGUGGCUGAGAUCAGCCGCUCAUUCCGGUCACAGCAAGAGAUAUGUGAGCAACUCAACAUCAAUCACAUGAUCCAAAGGAUCUUCCUCAUUACUCUGGAUAACAGUGAUCCUAGCUUGAAAAGUGGGAAUGGCAUCCCCAGCCGUUGUGUGUAUUUGGAAGAAAUGGCAGUAGAACUGGAAGAUCAAGACUGGCUUGAUAUGAGCAACGUUGAGCAGGCCAUCUUUGCUCGCUUAUUACUUCAAGAUCCAGGAAACCACUUGAUUAACAUGACUUCUUCUACAACAUUAAAUCU